UAGGGAAUCUUCCACAAUGGACGCAAGUCUGAUGGAGCAACGCCGCGUGAGUGAAGAAGGUUUUCGGAUCGUAAAGCUCUGUUGUUGGUGAAGAAGGAUAGAGGUAGUAACUGGCCUUUAUUUGACGGUAAUCAACCAGAAAGUCACGGCUAACUACGUGCCAGCAGCCGCGGUAAUACGUAGGUGGCAAGCGUUGUCCGGAUUUAUUGGGCGUAAAGCGAGCGCAGGCGGAAGAAUAAGUCUGAUGUGAAAGCCCUCGGCUUAACCGAGGAACUGCAUCUGAAACUGUUUUUCUUGAGUGCAGAAGAGGAGAGUGGAAUUCCAUGUGUAGCGGUGGAAUGCGUAGAUAUAUGGAAGAACACCAGUGGCGAAGGCGACUCUCUGGUCUGCAACUGACGCUGAGGCUCGAAAGCAUGGGUAGCGAACAGG
Molecule: ribosomal RNA, 429 nt
Filed under: bacterium
Lineage: Bacteria
Description: partial 16S ribosomal RNA
Rfam family: Bacterial small subunit ribosomal RNA
Source: RNAcentral